RNAcentral lists this ribosomal RNA (254 nucleotides) under uncultured bacterium. RNAcentral's name for it is "partial 16S ribosomal RNA". It matches the Rfam family "Bacterial small subunit ribosomal RNA", at positions 524 to 776 of the family's 1533-position model. The record is from RNAcentral.
UACGGGGGGGGCAAGCGUUGUUCGGAAUUACUGGGCGUAAAGGGCUCGUAGGCGGCCAACUAAGUCGGACGUGAAAUCCCUCGGCUUAACCGGGGAACUGCUUCCGAUACUGGAUGGCUUGAGUGUGGGAGAGGGAUGCGGAAUUCCAGGUGUAGCGGUGAAAUGCGUAGAUAUCUGGAGGAACACCGGUGGCGAAGGCGGCAUCCUGGACCAUUACUGACGCUGAGUGAGCGAAAGCCAGGGGAGCAAACGGG